RNAcentral lists this long non-coding RNA (217 nucleotides) under Capsicum annuum. RNAcentral describes it as "long non-coding RNA (CANN_LNC013289)". The record is from RNAcentral. Lineage: Eukaryota; Viridiplantae; Streptophyta; Magnoliopsida; Solanales; Solanaceae.
CCAAAUCAGCCGCAGCAGUCCAUGGGCUGCUCGUAAUUUCACUAUAGACGCGCCAAAACCGAUCAAAACCAUCCCAAACAUCGGAAAACAAAAGUGGGUUUGUCUUUGGGAUUUCGGGAAUCGAGUUCGAGGUCUGUUCGUGGUUCAUGGGUUCACGAGGCUCCCAUCGUGGUUGAAAUCGGUUCAAGUUGAUUGAAUAAAAGUAACAUUGAGGUUC